RNAcentral lists this microRNA precursor (78 nucleotides) under Callithrix jacchus (white-tufted-ear marmoset). RNAcentral describes it as "microRNA cja-mir-548d precursor (cja-mir-548d-1)". Its record names the gene cja-mir-548d-1. Lineage: Eukaryota; Metazoa; Chordata; Mammalia; Primates; Cebidae. The record is from miRBase by way of RNAcentral.
AAGGUUGGUACAAAAGUAAUUGUGGUUUUGGCCAUUGCUUUUAAUGGCAAUAAAUGCAGUUACUUUUGUAUCAAUCUU